This 854-nucleotide ribosomal RNA is filed under the name Anophryoides haemophila. Its description in RNAcentral is "partial Bacterial large subunit ribosomal RNA". Lineage: Eukaryota; Ciliophora; Oligohymenophorea; Philasterida; Glauconematidae. The record is from RNAcentral.
GCGGAAUCAGCCUGUUAUCCCCGGAGUACCUUUUAUCCGUUGAGCGAUGGCCCUUCCAUUCAGAACCACCGGAUCACUAUGACCUGCUUUCGCACCUGCUCGACUUGUCGGUCUCGCAGUCAAGCACGCUUAUGCCAUUGCACUAUCAGCACGAUUUCCGACCGUACCUAGCGUACCUUCGUACUCCUCCGUUACACUUUGGGAGGAGACCGCCCCAGUCAAACUGCCUACCAUGCACUGUCCCCGAUCCAGAUAAUGGACCUAGGUUAGAACCUCAAACACACCAGGGUGGUAUUUCAACGUUGGCUCCAUGAGAACUAGCGUCCUCACUUCAAAGCCUCCCACCUAUCCUACACAGAUCUGUUCAAAGUCCAAUACAAAGCUACAGUAAAGGUUCAUGGGGUCUUUCCGUCUUUCCGCGGGGAGAUUGCAUCAUCACAAACAUUUCAACUUCGCUGAGUCUCAGGAGGAGACAGUGUGGCCAUCGUUACGCCAUUCGUGCAGGUCGGAACUUACCCGACAAGGAAUUUCGCUACCUUAGGAUGGUUAUAGUUACCACCGCCGUUUACUGGGGCUUAAAUUCUCAGCUUCGCCAACAAAGUUGACUAACCGGUCCUCUUAACCUUCCAGCACCGGGCAGGCGUCAGUCCAUAUACAUCAACUUAACGUCUUCGCAUGGACCUGUGUUUUUGAUAAACAGUCGCUUCCCUCUAUUCUCUGCGACCCCACAACCCACCACCAGCGCAAAGACUGGUUUAAGUCGUGUGGUCCCCCUUCUUCCGAAGUUACGGGGGCAUUUUGCCGAGUUCCUUAACCACAGUUCACCCGCUCGCCUUAGUAUUUUCUACCUGACC